RNAcentral lists this unclassified non-coding RNA (358 nucleotides) under soil metagenome. RNAcentral's name for it is "partial contains 5.8S ribosomal RNA, internal transcribed spacer 2, and large subunit ribosomal RNA". The stretch from base 1 to 120 matches the Rfam family "5.8S ribosomal RNA", at positions 35 to 154 of the family's 154-position model. The record is from RNAcentral.
GAUGAAGAACGCAGCGAAAUGCGAUAAGUAAUGUGAAUUGCAGGAUUCAGUGAAUCAUCGAAUCUUUGAACGCACAUUGCGCCCGUCAGUAUUCUGGCGGGCAUGCCUGUUCGAGCGUCAUUACGCCCCUCAAGUCCCCUGUGGACUUGGUGUUGGGGAUCGGCGAGGCUGGUUUUCCAGCACAGCCGUCCCUUAAAUUAAUUGGCGGUCUCGCCGUGGCCCUCCUCUGCGCAGUAGUAAAACACUCGCAACAGGAGCCCGGCGCGGUCCACUGCCGUAAAACCCCCCAACUUUUUAUAGUUGACCUCGAAUCAGGUAGGACUACCCGCUGAACUUAAGCAUAUCAAUAAGCGGAGGA